This 459-nucleotide long non-coding RNA is filed under the name Helianthus annuus (common sunflower). RNAcentral's name for it is "hypothetical non coding rna". The stretch from base 196 to 323 matches the Rfam family "Small nucleolar RNA SNORD14". The record is from RNAcentral. Lineage: Eukaryota; Viridiplantae; Streptophyta; Magnoliopsida; Asterales; Asteraceae.
UAUCUAUGAUGAAAGAUUAAAGGCUUGUUUCUCAUGAAUAUUCGCAGUGGCCGCCUGAUCGAACUUUCGCCUUCGCCAGGCUUGAGAGUUAAUGUUGCUCCAUCCUUCCUUCCUUGGAUGUCUGAGAUCCUCCUCCUCUUUUUUCAAUGUAUAUUUAUUUUUCAAUUUUAUUUUUAUUUGUCCUGAUGUGUAAGAAACUGGUGAUGAUAAUCUUAAGGCUUGUUUCUCAGAAACAUUCGCAGUGGCCGACUAAGAGCUUUCGCCUUCGCCAGGCUCGAGAGCUUAUGCUGUCUUGCUCCUUCCUUCCUUGGAUGUCUGAAGUUUCAAUAUAUGUGUUAUUUAUUUAUAUAUGGAGAUUUAGUGUGGGUUUCUCAAUGAUGAUUUCAAUAGAUGACGAGUCUGAUAUAUUAUCCAUUCCAUUCAAUUAUGAAGACGAAUCGAGGCAUUUGUCUGAGAGCC